CAAAAUGUAGCCUGCUUGUUUCAUUUGGAAGAGUUCUCCUGUUAUGGCUAGCUCUGUUUGCUAUGCUUCAGAAGAAAGUAACAGAAAGACUAACUGCUGCUAUACAGACCAUUGUCUCCUAUGCAGUUCAUCUGCCACUUCAAAUAAUAACCCAUUUAUCAAGAGAUAAUGCCAUCCACUAUUGCAACAGCAGAACUAAAGAAGUGCUUCCUAAGAACCCAGCAAGAGAAGCAGUAGUGACACUAGACAGAUCUAAAACUAUCCAAGGGACCUCUUCAUAUUACUGCUGUUUGAAAGUCAGUGGAUCACAGUGCCUAACUACUACUAGAACAGAAUUAGUGGACAGCAGACUUCAAAUGCUUGAUGUUUACCUAUUGCCAAUACCUCAGUUAAAUUCAGAACUGCCUAUA
Molecule: long non-coding RNA, 410 nt
Organism: Oxyura jamaicensis (ruddy duck)
Lineage: Eukaryota; Metazoa; Chordata; Aves; Anseriformes; Anatidae
Exons: 3
Source: RefSeq, a predicted model, not a curated record